RNAcentral lists this ribosomal RNA (443 nucleotides) under uncultured bacterium. RNAcentral describes it as "partial 16S ribosomal RNA". It matches the Rfam family "Bacterial small subunit ribosomal RNA", at positions 338 to 795 of the family's 1533-position model. The record is from RNAcentral.
CCUACGGGGGGCAGCAGUGGGGGAUAUUGGACAAUGGGGGGAACCCUGAUCCAGCGACGCCGCGUGAGUGAAGAAGUAUUUCGGUAUGUAAAGCUCUGUCAGCAGGGAAGAAAGACAUGACGGUACCUGACCAAGAAGCCCCGGCUAACUACGUGCCAGCAGCCGCGGGAAUACGUAGGGGGCAAGCGUUAUCCGGAAUUACUGGGUGUAAAGGGAGCGUAGACGGUUAAGUAAGUCUGGAGUGAAAGGCCGGGGCCCAACCCCGAGACUGCUCUGGAAACUAUUGAACUUGAGUGCAGGAGAGGUAAGCGGAAUUCCUAGUGUAGCGGUGAAAUGCGUAGAUAUUAGGAGGAACACCAGUGGCGAAGGCGGCUUACUGGACUGUAACUGACGUUGAGGCUCGAAAGCGUGGGGAGCAAACAGGAUUAGAUACCCCGGUAGUC